UCUCAGCUACAUCGGUGUAAAUC
This 23-nucleotide microRNA is filed under the name Gallus gallus (chicken). RNAcentral's name for it is "gga-miR-1467-5p". RNAcentral also lists the same sequence under 1 other name. The record is from miRBase by way of RNAcentral. Lineage: Eukaryota; Metazoa; Chordata; Aves; Galliformes; Phasianidae.